Molecule: non-coding RNA, 321 nt
Organism: Vicia faba (fava bean)
Lineage: Eukaryota; Viridiplantae; Streptophyta; Magnoliopsida; Fabales; Fabaceae
Source: the annotation of a GenBank genome assembly
AUGAGCCAAUCUGAGAUCGAAGAAGACGUGGCAAACGGUGUUCGAUAUCGUGAGUUUAAGAUUGUCCAAUUGGAAACACAAACACCUUUCACUCGGAGGUGGUUUAUAGUGCUUGCGGUGCUUCCUAAAGAUAGAUGGGAUCAUUUUGAGCAGUUUGGAUUUCUCAUGGAUGGGGAUAAAAGAUCAGUUAAAGGUGAUAGAGUCAUUUGGUUUGCUUGCAUUUGGAGCAUAUGGAAAGCUCGAAAUACUAGCAUAUUCAAGAACAAGAAUAUUCUGAUUGAUCAAUUAUUUGAAGAAGUCCAAAGACUUUCCUGGUGUUGA